GACGAACGCUGGCGGCGUGCCUAAUACAUGCAAGUAGAACGCACAGUUUAUACCGUAGCUUGCUACACCAUAAACUGUGAGUUGCGAACGGGUGCGUAACGCGUCGGUAACCUGCCUGGUAGCGGGGGAUAACUAUUGGAAACGAUAGCUAAUACCGCAUAAUAUUACUUAUUGCAUGAUAAUUGAUUGAAAGCUGCUAUUGCAUCACUACCAGAUGGAGCUGCGUUGUUUUAGCUAGUAGGUGAGGUAACGGCUCACCUAGGCGACGAUACAUAGCCGACCUGAGAGGGUGAUCGGCCACACUGGGAAUGAGACACGGCCCAGACUCCUACGGGAGGGAGCAGGAGGGAAUCUUCGGCAAUGGACGAAAGUCUGACCGAGCAACGCCGCGGGAGUGAAGAAGGUUUUCGGAUCGUAAAGCUCUGUUGUAAGAGAAGAACGGGUGUGAGAGUGGAAAGUUCACACUGUGACGGUAUCUGACCAGAAAGGGACGGCUAACUACGUG
Molecule: ribosomal RNA, 505 nt
Filed under: uncultured bacterium
Lineage: Bacteria
Description: partial 16S ribosomal RNA
Rfam family: Bacterial small subunit ribosomal RNA
Source: RNAcentral